This 2893-nucleotide ribosomal RNA is filed under the name Pseudomonas palleroniana. RNAcentral's name for it is "23S ribosomal RNA". It matches the Rfam family "Bacterial large subunit ribosomal RNA". Lineage: Bacteria; Pseudomonadati; Pseudomonadota; Gammaproteobacteria; Pseudomonadales; Pseudomonadaceae. The record is from RNAcentral.
GGUCAAGUGAAGAAGCGCAUACGGUGGAUGCCUUGGCAGUCAGAGGCGAUGAAAGACGUGGUAGCCUGCGAAAAGCUUCGGGGAGUCGGCAAACAGACUUUGAUCCGGAGAUGUCUGAAUGGGGGAACCCAGCCAUCAUAAGAUGGUUAUCUUGUACUGAAUACAUAGGUGCAAGAGGCGAACCAGGGGAACUGAAACAUCUAAGUACCCUGAGGAAAAGAAAUCAACCGAGAUUCCCUUAGUAGUGGCGAGCGAACGGGGACUAGCCCUUAAGUGGCUUUGAGAUUAGCGGAACGCUCUGGAAAGUGCGGCCAUAGUGGGUGAUAGCCCUGUACGCGAAAAUCUCUUAGUCAUGAAAUCGAGUAGGACGGAGCACGAGAAACUUUGUCUGAAUAUGGGGGGACCAUCCUCCAAGGCUAAAUACUACUGACUGACCGAUAGUGAACUAGUACCGUGAGGGAAAGGCGAAAAGAACCCCGGAGAGGGGAGUGAAAUAGAUCCUGAAACCGUAUGCGUACAAGCAGUGGGAGCAGACUUUGUUCUGUGACUGCGUACCUUUUGUAUAAUGGGUCAGCGACUUAUUUUCAGUGGCGAGCUUAACCGAAUAGGGGAGGCGUAGCGAAAGCGAGUCUUAAUAGGGCGUCUAGUCGCUGGGAAUAGACCCGAAACCGGGCGAUCUAUCCAUGGGCAGGUUGAAGGUUGGGUAACACUAACUGGAGGACCGAACCGACUACCGUUGAAAAGUUAGCGGAUGACCUGUGGAUCGGAGUGAAAGGCUAAUCAAGCUCGGAGAUAGCUGGUUCUCCUCGAAAGCUAUUUAGGUAGCGCCUCAUGUAUCACUGUAGGGGGUAGAGCACUGUUUCGGCUAGGGGGUCAUCCCGACUUACCAAACCGAUGCAAACUCCGAAUACCUACAAGUGCCGAGCAUGGGAGACACACGGCGGGUGCUAACGUCCGUCGUGAAAAGGGAAACAACCCAGACCGUCAGCUAAGGUCCCAAAGUUAUGGUUAAGUGGGAAACGAUGUGGGAAGGCUUAGACAGCUAGGAGGUUGGCUUAGAAGCAGCCACCCUUUAAAGAAAGCGUAAUAGCUCACUAGUCGAGUCGGCCUGCGCGGAAGAUGUAACGGGGCUCAAACCAUACACCGAAGCUACGGGUAUCACGUAAGUGAUGCGGUAGAGGAGCGUUCUGUAAGCCUGUGAAGGUGAGUUGAGAAGCUUGCUGGAGGUAUCAGAAGUGCGAAUGCUGACAUGAGUAACGACAAUGGGUGUGAAAAAACACCCACGCCGAAAGACCAAGGUUUCCUGCGCAACGUUAAUCGACGCAGGGUUAGUCGGUCCCUAAGGCGAGGCUGAAAAGCGUAGUCGAUGGAAAACAGGUUAAUAUUCCUGUACUUCUGGUUAUUGCGAUGGAGGGACGGAGAAGGCUAGGCCAGCUUGGCGUUGGUUGUCCAAGUUUAAGGUGGUAGGCUGAGAUCUUAGGUAAAUCCGGGAUCUUAAGGCCGAGAGCUGAUGACGAGUCAUCUUUUAGAUGACGAAGUGGUUGAUGCCAUGCUUCCAAGAAAAGCUUCUAAGCUUCAGGUAACCAGGAACCGUACCCCAAACCGACACAGGUGGUUGGGUAGAGAAUACCAAGGCGCUUGAGAGAACUCGGGUGAAGGAACUAGGCAAAAUGGCACCGUAACUUCGGGAGAAGGUGCGCCGGUGAGGGUGAAGGACUUGCUCCGUAAGCCCAUGCCGGUCGAAGAUACCAGGCCGCUGCGACUGUUUAUUAAAAACACAGCACUCUGCAAACACGAAAGUGGACGUAUAGGGUGUGACGCCUGCCCGGUGCCGGAAGGUUAAUUGAUGGGGUUAGCUAACGCGAAGCUCUUGAUCGAAGCCCCGGUAAACGGCGGCCGUAACUAUAACGGUCCUAAGGUAGCGAAAUUCCUUGUCGGGUAAGUUCCGACCUGCACGAAUGGCGUAACGAUGGCGGCGCUGUCUCCACCCGAGACUCAGUGAAAUUGAAAUCGCUGUGAAGAUGCAGUGUAUCCGCGGCUAGACGGAAAGACCCCGUGAACCUUUACUAUAGCUUUGCACUGGACUUUGAAUUUGCUUGUGUAGGAUAGGUGGGAGGCUUUGAAGCGUGGACGCCAGUCUGCGUGGAGCCAUCCUUGAAAUACCACCCUGGCAACUUUGAGGUUCUAACUCAGGUCCGUUAUCCGGAUCGAGGACAGUGUAUGGUGGGUAGUUUGACUGGGGCGGUCUCCUCCUAAAGAGUAACGGAGGAGUACGAAGGUGCGCUCAGACCGGUCGGAAAUCGGUCGUAGAGUAUAAAGGCAAAAGCGCGCUUGACUGCGAGACAGACACGUCGAGCAGGUACGAAAGUAGGUCUUAGUGAUCCGGUGGUUCUGUAUGGAAGGGCCAUCGCUCAACGGAUAAAAGGUACUCCGGGGAUAACAGGCUGAUACCGCCCAAGAGUUCAUAUCGACGGCGGUGUUUGGCACCUCGAUGUCGGCUCAUCACAUCCUGGGGCUGAAGCCGGUCCCAAGGGUAUGGCUGUUCGCCAUUUAAAGUGGUACGCGAGCUGGGUUUAGAACGUCGUGAGACAGUUCGGUCCCUAUCUGCCGUGGACGUUUGAGAUUUGAGAGGGGCUGCUCCUAGUACGAGAGGACCGGAGUGGACGAACCUCUGGUGUUCCGGUUGUCACGCCAGUGGCAUUGCCGGGUAGCUAUGUUCGGAAUAGAUAACCGCUGAAAGCAUCUAAGCGGGAAACUAGCCUCAAGAUGAGAUCUCACUGGAACCUUGAGUUCCCUGAAGGGCCGUCGAAGACUACGACGUUGAUAGGUUGGGUGUGUAAGCGCUGUGAGGCGUUGAGCUAACCAAUACUAAUUGCCCGUGAGGCUUGACCAU